GAUGAACGCUGGCGGCGUGCCUAAUACAUGCAAGUCGAGCGAACAGAUGAGGAGCUUGCUCCUCUGACGUUAGCGGCGGACGGGUGAGUAACACGUGGAUAACCUACCUAUAAGACUGGGAUAACUUCGGGAAACCGGAGCUAAUACCGGAUAAUAUAUUGAACCGCAUGGUUCAAUAGUGAAAGACGGUUUUGCUGUCACUUAUAGAUGGAUCCGCGCCGCAUUAGCUAGUUGGUAAGGUAACGGCUUACCAAGGCAACGAUGCGUAGCCGACCUGCGGGUGGCCCUCCCGAUGGAGAGUGUGACCCGGGCUCAGCGCCUGGGUGGGCAAGGGGUGGGCACUGUGCCGGAUUGGCGGAAACCCUGCCGGAGUGUCCCGGCCGGGGGGAUGAAGGACCACGGUCCGUAAAGGCCUUUUAUGGGGAAAGAACAAAUCCGUACGCAGCUAUGCGGGCCUGGCCGUUCCCUAAUCAGAACCCAGCGGCCAACACUGU
RNAcentral lists this ribosomal RNA (494 nucleotides) under uncultured bacterium. RNAcentral's name for it is "partial 16S ribosomal RNA". It matches the Rfam family "Bacterial small subunit ribosomal RNA", at positions 28 to 506 of the family's 1533-position model. The record is from RNAcentral.